This 695-nucleotide ribosomal RNA is filed under the name uncultured bacterium. RNAcentral describes it as "bacterial SSU rRNA". It matches the Rfam family "Bacterial small subunit ribosomal RNA", at positions 140 to 851 of the family's 1533-position model. The record is from RNAcentral.
GGGACAACAGUUGGAAACGACUGCUAAUACCGCAUAAGCCCACGACCCGGCAUCGGGUUGAGGGAAAAGGAGCAAUCCGCUUUGAGAUGGCCUCGCGUCCGAUUAGCUAGUUGGUGAGGUAACGGCCCACCAAGGCAACGAUCGGUAGCCGGACUGAGAGGUUGAACGGCCACAUUGGGACUGAGACACGGCCCAGACUCCUACGGGAGGCAGCAGUGGGGAAUAUUGCACAAUGGGGGAAACCCUGAUGCAGCGACGCCGCGUGGAGGAAGAAGGUCUUCGGAUUGUAAACUCCUGUUGUCGAGGAAGAUAAUGACGGUACUCAACAAGGAAGUGACGGCUAACUACGUGCCAGCAGCCGCGGUAAAACGUAGGUCACAAGCGUUGUCCGGAAUUACUGGGUGUAAAGGGAGCGCAGGCGGGAAGACAAGUUGGAAGUGAAAUCCAUGGGCUCAACCCAUGAACUGCUUUCAAAACUGUUUUUCUUGAGUAGUGCAGAGGUAGGCGGAAUUCCCGGUGUAGCGGUGGAAUGCGUAGAUAUCGGGAGGAACACCAGUGGCGAAGGCGGCCUACUGGGCACCAACUGACGCUGAGGCUCGAAAGUGUGGGUAGCAAACAGGAUUAGAUACCCUGGUAGUCCACACCGUAAACGAUGAUUACUAGGUGUUGGAGGAUUGACCCCUUCAGUGCCGCAG